Molecule: long non-coding RNA, 1261 nt
Organism: Manis pentadactyla (Chinese pangolin)
Lineage: Eukaryota; Metazoa; Chordata; Mammalia; Pholidota; Manidae
Exons: 3
Source: RefSeq, a predicted model, not a curated record
AUCUGGGGGCACACUGCAUGAGGUCCACUGAGUGGGGCCAGAGCUUACGGAUGGGGGGCCGGGGAAGGCACGCGCUGCGGAUGAGGGCACUAGCUGCCCACUGUUGAUCGUUUUCAUCAUGGAGGGACAUCCAUGACCAUAAUAUUCCCGGCUCUGCCCAUUAUUAGGCAAAUGGUGAGUCUGGGCUAAGAAACCGGGCUCUUCCCUGUCUUCCUUUGUUAGUAGCAGGUUGUCCUCAGCCCUGGGGAAGCCUGGGAGAGGAGAUGCGCUGCGAGGGGCCUGCACCCACCUAGCACUGCUGUACCUGACCAGGAAAACCCAACAUGCAUUAUAUGGGCAAAUGCCAUUAAUAAUCACCCAGCUGAACACCAGCAAUUUGGUCUCCACAGCAACAGAAGGUGAUGACGUUUAGCUCAGAGGGUUGUCAUGAACAUGAAACGGGAGAAAGCACAGAGAGACCAGGAGCCAUGGGACAAGAGCGCUUCACCUCUGGUCCACUGCUGGGGCACCUGUUGUCUGGAGCUGCGCAGUGAAGAACAGUGGCUGAGCCCCGCCCGUGCAGCCCAGGAGCUUCGAGUCUGCUGAGAGCCAGCCUAGGGAACAAGCUAUGACAAUGAAAUACAAGGGUUGCCAUGAUAAGAGUGAGCAAGAGGAUAUUUUGGGCCCUGAGAAGAGAUUCUCACCCCAGCUUGUGGUCAGAAGAGAGAGUGGGAACUGGGGGAACUGGUAGACUUUUGGAGGCAAGAAAGCUGCAAUCAGCAAAGCCUCAGAACAGACAGAGGCACAGAGGUUUGAGCUCCUGCUGCCUUCUUCACAGACACAAAAGAGCCGCUGUUUGAGCCAGGGAUGCGACUGAGCUGUGGCUGUAGCAGAGCCCUUUCUGUAUGCAUCGUCUCCAGCUCAAAGAGGUGACGAGCCCAAGGACUAGAGUGACGAAUUCUUGGUUUGAACACAAGUGUGUCCAGGUCGCAGGUCUGUACCUUGUGGUGCAUUCCAGGAGGCCUCUGCUGGAGGAUACAUCACAGUCUCCUGGGGAGAUAGUUAAACUACUGCUGUGUAAACCUUAUUCUAGCUGGGCUGAACUGAAAUCUCUGGGAGUAAGGUUCACAAAUGCAUAAUAAAAAAAAGGCUCCCCAGGAGAUUCUGAUGUGUCUUCCUGGUUCAUGACUGCAGGGGCAGCCCCAGGAAAGGCUCUCUGCUUGUGGCCCAGUACCACGUUCAAGGUUGUUUACACCAAUGAGCUACUAAGAAGUGUGCAUCU